This 800-nucleotide ribosomal RNA is filed under the name uncultured bacterium. RNAcentral describes it as "bacterial SSU rRNA". It matches the Rfam family "Bacterial small subunit ribosomal RNA", at positions 8 to 824 of the family's 1533-position model. The record is from RNAcentral.
AGAGUUUGAUCCUGGCUCAGGACGAACGCUGGCGGCGUGCUUAACACAUGCAAGUCGAGCGAUGAAGCACCUUCGGGUGUGAAUUAGCGGCGAACGGGUGAGGAACACGUGAGAAAUCUGCCUUCAACACUGGGAUAACUCCGGGAAACCGGGGCUAAUACCGGAUAUGAAACCUGCGGGCAUCCGCGGGUUUGGAAAGUUUUUCGGUUGAAGAUGAUCUCGCGGCCUAUCAGCUUGUUGGUGAGGUAAUGGCUCACCAAGGCGACGACGGGUAGCCGGCCUGAGAGGGCGACCGGCCACACUGGGACUGAGACACGGCCCAGACUCCUACGGGAGGCAGCAGUGGGGAAUAUUGGGCAAUGGAGGAAACUCUGACCCAGCGACGCCGCGUGCGGGAUGAAGGCCUUCGGGUUGUAAACCGCUUUCAGCAGGGAAGAAGCGAAAGUGACGGUACCUGCAGAAGAAGCACCGGCUAACUAUGUGCCAGCAGCCGCGGUAAUACAUAGGGUGCAAGCGUUGUCCGGAAUUAUUGGGCGUAAAGAGCUCGUAGGUGGUUCGUCACGUCGGAUGUGAAACUCUGGGGCUUAACCCCAGACCUGCAUUCGAUACGGGCGAGCUUGAGUAUGGUAGGGGAGUCUGGAAUUCCUGGUGUAGCGGUGGAAUGCGCAGAUAUCAGGAGGAACACCAAUGGCGAAGGCAGGACUCUGGGCCAUUACUGACACUGAGGAGCGAAAGCGUGGGGAGCGAACAGGAUUAGAUACCCUGGUAGUCCACGCCGUAAACGGUGGGCACUAGUUGUG